This 321-nucleotide ribosomal RNA is filed under the name uncultured bacterium. Its description in RNAcentral is "bacterial SSU rRNA". It matches the Rfam family "Bacterial small subunit ribosomal RNA", at positions 32 to 342 of the family's 1533-position model. The record is from RNAcentral.
AAUCAACGCUGGCGGCGUGCCUCAGACAUGCAAGUCGAACGAUUAAGACUUCCUUCGGGAAGUGUAUAAAGUGGCGCACGGGUGAGUAACACGUAAGUAAUCUGCCUUCGAGUGGGGAAGUACCUUCGGGAAACCGGAACGAUAAUACCGCAUAAUGCAGCGGCACCGCAAGGUGACAGUUGUUAAAGGAGCAAUCCGCUUGAGAGGAGCUUGCGGCAGAUUAGCAGUUGGUAAGGUAACGGCUUACCAAGGCUACGAUCUGUAUCCGGUCUAAGAGGACGGUCGGACACACUGACACUGAAUAACGGGUCAGACUCCUAC